UGGGGAAUAUUGCACAAUGGGCGCAAGCCUGAUGCAGCCAUGCCGCGUGUGUGAAGAAGGCCUUCGGGUUGUAAAGCACUUUCAGCGAGGAGGAAGGUGGUGAGCUUAAUACGCUCAUCAAUUGACGUUACUCGCAGAAGAAGCACCGGCUAACUCCGUGCCAGCAGCCGCGGUAAUACGGAGGGUGCAAGCGUUAAUCGGAAUUACUGGGCGUAAAGCGCACGCAGGCGGUUUGUUAAGUCAGAUGUGAAAUCCCCGGGCUCAACCUGGGAACUGCAUUUGAAACUGGCAAGCUAGAGUCUCGUAGAGGGGGGUAGAAUUCCAGGUGUAGCGGUGAAAUGCGUAGAGAUCUGGAGGAAUACCGGUGGCGAAGGCGGCCCCCCUGGACGAAGACUGACGCUCAGGUGCGAAAGCGUGGGGCAGCAAACAGGAUUAGAUACCCUGGUAGUCCACGCUGUAAACGAUGUCGAUUUGGAGGUUGUGCCCUUGAGGCGUGGCUUCCGGAGCUAACGCGUUAAAUCGACCGCCUGGGGAGUACGGCCGCAAGGUUAAAACUUAAAUGAAUUGACGGGUC
Molecule: ribosomal RNA, 574 nt
Filed under: uncultured bacterium
Lineage: Bacteria
Description: partial 16S ribosomal RNA
Rfam family: Bacterial small subunit ribosomal RNA
Source: RNAcentral